This 497-nucleotide ribosomal RNA is filed under the name uncultured bacterium. Its description in RNAcentral is "partial 16S ribosomal RNA". It matches the Rfam family "Bacterial small subunit ribosomal RNA", at positions 28 to 507 of the family's 1533-position model. The record is from RNAcentral.
GAUGAACGCUGGCGGCGUGCCUAAUACAUGCAAGUCGAGCGAACAGACGAGGAGCUUGCUCCUCUGACGUUAGCGGCGGACGGGUGAGUAACACGUGGAUAACCUACCUAUAAGACUGGGAUAACUUCGGGAAACCGGAGCUAAUACCGGAUAAUAUAUUGAACCGCAUGGUUCAAUAGUGAAAGACGGUUUUGCUGUCACUUAUAGAUGGAUCCGCGCCGCAUUAGCUAGUUGGUAAGGUAACGGCUUACCAAGGCAACGAUGCGUAGCCGACCUGAGAGAGUGAUCGGCCACACUAGAACUGAGACACGGUCCAGACUCCUACGGGAGGCAGCAGUAGGGAAUCUUCCGCAAUGGGCGAAAGCCUGACGGAGCAACGCCGCGUGAGUGAUGAAGGUCUUCGGAUCGUAAAACUCUGUUAUUAGGGAAGACCAAAUGUGUAAGUAACUAUGCACGUCUUGACGGUACCUAAUCAGAAAGCCACGGCUAACUACGUG